Molecule: long non-coding RNA, 404 nt
Organism: Asparagus officinalis (garden asparagus)
Lineage: Eukaryota; Viridiplantae; Streptophyta; Magnoliopsida; Asparagales; Asparagaceae
Exons: 2
Source: RefSeq, a predicted model, not a curated record
AACAUUAAUCGUCGCAAUCGUCAUCUUCUCCCUAUUUGCACCGAGCUCUGCUAGCUUUGGUUCUUGCUAUAAAGCAUGUUUUCUAGCUUGCCGACUGAAAUUUUCAACAGUUGGUUGCGUGGGAAAUUGUUUGGCGCAGUGUAUCAUUCACAAAGAAUUCACUGGAAAGACCGCGGAGGGAGAAGAUAUUCCAAGGGCCACUCAAAGAGUUGAACCUAAAAAUUGAAUGAGUUUCAAACUUUAAUUUGUUGCCAGAGAGCUGAGGAAGGAUACGUUUGCGUACAUGCAUAAUAAAAUGUUCCAAUUAAUGUCAUUUAAAUUUGAGCAGUUUAGAUUGCGCUCCGUUCAGAAUAGCCUGUAACGUAAUCUUGUAUCCUCUAUAUAAGCAUCUCGUAUUUUAGACA